Molecule: ribosomal RNA, 195 nt
Filed under: Triticum aestivum (bread wheat)
Lineage: Eukaryota; Viridiplantae; Streptophyta; Magnoliopsida; Poales; Poaceae
Description: partial small subunit ribosomal RNA
Source: RNAcentral
GGGGUGGGGAACCGCCGGACAGUUCGUGAGGUUUUGGCCCUCUCUAAAGCCAAUUCCCCGGGGCUCGUUUUUCUCUCGGAGACAAGACAAGCCUCAAGUCAGAUGGAGAAACUCAGAUGGAGACUGCAGUUGAAAGGUUUCACGGGUGUGUCAUGUGAGGGGCUCAGUGGUGGACUGGCCCUGUAUUGGGAUGAA